This is a non-coding RNA of Taeniopygia guttata (zebra finch), 1306 nucleotides long. NCBI's taxonomy places the organism in Eukaryota, Metazoa, Chordata, Aves, Passeriformes, Estrildidae. The record is from RefSeq and is a predicted model, not a curated record.
CUCAUAAUUGACCAGAAAACUACUUUCCUUUUUUCUAUGUCUUCCAUGCUAGAUGACUUUCCUGAAACUCACUUUUCCUGAAAUUUUAGGCAAAUGUACCCUAAAAUGCAUUCAAAGCCCAGGAGCCUGGAGUGGAGGCUGGACUUCUUAUACCAAGGAGAUGAGCACAAUUCAGGAUUGAGGGUACUCAACACAAAACAAAAGGAGGUAAGCUUGCAAAAUGCAGGUCAAAUUAAUGGACCAUGAGCUGGAUCAAGAACUGGAUGAAUGGCACAGAUCAGAGUGUCACAAUCAGUGGAGUAGAAUCCAGUUGGAGGCUUGUAGUCAGUGGCGUUCCUCAAGGACCAAUAUUGGGUUCAGUCUUACUCAACUUGUUAAUCAAUUACCUGGAUGAAGAUAGAAUGCAUCCUUAACAAGUUUGCCAAUCAUAUCAAACUAAGAGGAGUGGCUGAUACACCUGAGGGCUGUGCUGUCAUUCAGUGGGGCCUUGAUAGCAUUGGCUGAGAAGAAACCUAAUGAAGUUCAACAAAACAAUACUGACUGCCUGUCAGAGUGAACCCUCCAGAUUCCUGUGUGUUGGUAUCCAUGGGCUCUUUCUUGCCAAGCUGCCAGUCUGGAGCGUCACACCUUACUGCCUUUAAAGAUUGCCCUGCAGAGAUAGAGGAAAAUGGCAAUUUUUACAUGAUGCAGUCUGGCAGCCCAGGAGAUUUGAAGUCAAAACUGGUGCCAAGAUUUACCCAGGAGAGCAAGCAGAGGCGAAAAAGAGAAUGUGGGCCAAAGGGAAAAUAAUAAAGCAAAGGAAGAGGGAAGUAAAAGGCAGGAAAGCACAGCAGAGUGGGAGCAGGUUUUUUUGAUCAAGCAUGGAACACAAGGCUAAAUAUUGGACACUACAUGUUGUUUGCAUGCAUUUGUUGAGAGGGUCAGGGUCCUAAAGAAAGUCAAAAGGAAGAGGUCGGCUUUUUUUGCAUGGCCCAAAUUGUAGUAGAUUGCAGAAUGUAAAUGAGACAAUUAUUACACCAAUGCUCAUCAAGCUGUGCUGGAAAGACUUCAAUAGCCUGAUGAAUAUGCAUGCAAAUUUGUUAAUUAAGUUAAUUAUUCUGCUGAAAAUUCAUUUGUCUUCCAAGGACAUUUUCCCAAUGAUUCUAACAUGCUUGUGCCAUUAGUCAUGCUCCAUGCUAUUUAACAUUACUUUUUGUCCACUUUUUCUUUCCCUCUUUUUCGUCUUGCUUUACUGUUCUAUUCCAUUUCUGUUGUUGUUGCUUUUUCUGUUUUGAUUUGCUUUUCUUAUUAAAGCUUUAAAACCAGA